Molecule: ribosomal RNA, 440 nt
Filed under: uncultured bacterium
Lineage: Bacteria
Description: partial 16S ribosomal RNA
Rfam family: Bacterial small subunit ribosomal RNA
Source: RNAcentral
CCUACGGGUGGCAGCAGUGGGGAAUAUUGCACAAUGGGGGAAACCCUGAUGCAGCGACGCCGCGUGAGUGAAGAAGUAAUUCGGUACGUAAAGCUCUAUCAGCAGGGAAGAAAAUGAAGGUACCUGAGUAAGAAGCUCAGGCGAACUACGUGCCAGGAGCCGCGGAAAUACGUAGGGGGACAGCGGUAUUCUGAUUGACUGGGUGUAAAGGGAGCGUGGACGGUGGGGCAAGUCUGUAGUGAAAUACCGCAGCUUAACUGCGGAACUGCGUGGGAAACUGGCGAACUAGAGUACGAGAGGGGUAUGCGGAAUUCCUAGUGUAGCGGUGAAAUGCGUAGAUAUUAGGAGGAACACCGGUGGCGAAGGCGGCUUACUGGACCGUAACUGACGUUGAGGCUCGAAAGCGUGGGGAGCAAACAGGAUUAGAUACCCCAGUAGUC